This 324-nucleotide small RNA is filed under the name Pan troglodytes (chimpanzee). RNAcentral describes it as "retained intron". Lineage: Eukaryota; Metazoa; Chordata; Mammalia; Primates; Hominidae. The record is from RNAcentral.
UCUGCAAGUUUAUAUCAGACAACUUCGCUUAGCUCUCCAGGGUAAAACGGGUGAGGCCUUAAAAACAGAAGAGAACAAGAUUAAAGUCGUUGCAUUGAAAAUAACAAACAAUAUCAAUGUUUUAAUCAAGGCAAAAGAGAGCCAGUGAAGAUACAACUUCAGGUUCACCACCCAAGAAAUCUUCAGCAGGACCAAAAAGAGAUGCCAGGCAGAUUUAUAACCCUCCCAGUGGGAAAUAUAGCAGCAAUUUGGGCAACUUUAAUUAUGGUGAGCGUUUCCGUUUGGGUACAAGGAAUAUGAGAGAUUAGGCAGAAAUUGUGUUAU